UGGUGGAGUGAUUUGUCUGGUUAAUUCCGAUAACGAACGAGACUCUAGCCUGCUAAAUAGUCUGUGAAUCGUCUGUUCGCAGUACUUCUUAGAGGGAUAAGCAGCGUUUAGCUGCAUGAGAUUGAGCAAUAACA
RNAcentral lists this ribosomal RNA (134 nucleotides) under uncultured eukaryote. Its description in RNAcentral is "partial 18S ribosomal RNA". It matches the Rfam family "Eukaryotic small subunit ribosomal RNA", at positions 1299 to 1458 of the family's 1831-position model. The record is from RNAcentral.